UGUCAGAUUGAAAAAACAAAUUUUAAGCAUUAUAGUGAAGAUUAUGAACUUCUGAUGUUUUUAAACCUACUUUACAGUAUUACUUUUGUACUUAACAAAUAGUACCAGAUGGAAAUUUAUUAUUUCUUGCAUUUCCCAUGAGAGCUGUAUUCUUUAGGCAUUACCUCUGCUGUUUUACUUUCUUCCCAAAAUGAUUAGAGGAUUACAACCAUCAAAAACAAGCCCUGGCAUGGAAAUGUUCUCUCCUUUUCUUUCUCUUCUUUCUCUUCUUUCCUCCUUCCUGUCACAAAAGCUGAAAAAUAAGAUCCAAUCCUUCUCUCAUCACAUGUGCACACCCAGGACACUGAAUGAAUUCAGGGGUCAGUGCUACUGUCACAGCACCACCAGUUAAGACACAGAGACAGCUAUGAUGACAGUUUCUCCCUCUGAAGGGGUUAUAGUGUGGUCACCAGACAGGGCACAAAAAGUGGGAUAAGGCAGCAAUUAACUUAACCGCCAAGUGAGUGCUGGAAAUCUUGGCCUCUUUUGGGAACCAUCAGCUCCACCUUCCUACAUCUGUUUAUGAAGACCAUAUCCAGUACACUCUAAAUGAUAAAUAAUUCGAUUAUGUGAAGAAGAAGAAGAAGGAGAAGGAGAAGGAGAAGGAGAAGGAGAAGGAGAAGGAGAAGAAGAAGAAGAAGAAGAAGAAGAAGAAGAAGAAGAAGAAGAAGAAGAAGAAGAAGAAGAAGAAGAAGAAGAAGAAGAAGAAGAAGUGACCCAUUUUUCCAAUUCCCUCCUUGACAGCUUAGCACAAGGAAAAUUGAAUCACCAUGAUGUGACCCAACUCUGUCACUCAGCUCCCCUCAAAUCUCAACACCUUGUAUCCCAAUGAUACAUUAUCAACCAAGCACAAAUGAGCUGGUGGAGGCCUCUUAAAAAAAAACAAAAAGAGGAUGUUUUAAAAUUUCAAUGAACAUUGAUGGCUUAUUUAGGAUUUAUGUUCCAGAAACAUCCUCUGUAGAAGCAAGCAUCUGUGUUCUUUUGAGAAGCUAGGAAUAGGAGACUUGGAGAGAAUGAAAGUUAGUGUCAAUCCAUGUUCUCAAAAGGUAUACUCCAUAGAGCUCAAGGACACUAGUCCAGGACAUAGAGAUUAUUUUACUGUUGAAUUAUGCUCUGGCACAUCUUAGCAUUUAAGAAUAUAUUUCUCCUUCUCACUUUCAACCAACUGCUUUUUUAAAAAACAGAGAGACUCAGUGUGAAAGUUUUUAAUGAAGAGCUGGGAAUAAGGAUUAGCGAGCUCUUGGUAGAAAUUGUCCUAUUGUGCUGCAUUUUACAAACAAGCAUGCCCUACUAAUAGGAGCAGGACUUCAGAGGCACCAGAGAAAUUAGGUGGCAUGAGCCGAAGAGUGGAUCUUAAAGUUAUUGCUGAACAUCUGUCAACCAUCUGCCAGGCAAGCUGAGAGCUCAGCACAGACGCACUCGAGUACUUCAGGGAGCCCAUACAAAGACGACACGUUCAGGGAAUGUCAGGAAGAAACUUCUAUUCCCUUCUAUGAUAGGAUCCAUGCUUUUCCAGUCUUCUUUUUCUCCUCCCACCACACCAUCACUUUCUUUUAUGGUGUGAAUGUUCGUGGUCCCUUUACAUCUCAUGCCUUCAAACAACACCAGAUUUGAACCUCAAAACAUUUUUCUUUUCCUUUUUCCAUCCCGUCAAGCAGUUUCAAAAAGAAAGGCAGCAGUUAUUAAAGUGAAUCAGCAUCAGCCAGCCAAUAAUAGGUCCUAAAUUGCUUUUCCCAGGAGAACCGCCUGAUCCUGAAAUAGGUGAGAAACCAACAACUGUCCCAGCAAUUGAAUUGGGCUAAAAAUCAAUGGGCACCUUUUUAAAAUAAUCUUUUGGUGAAAGUGGACCCCAAGAGUCAGCUGGUAGAGUCCCAAACCUUUCCCUCUUUCAGACAUGUUAAGAGAUCCUGGCCAACUUAAAUUUUUGUCCCCUUUGCCCAAUGUUUAAAAUGAAGCCGGUUUGCCUACAUUAUAAGACAGUUGUGAGGUGCCAUUGACUCCUAACUAGAGUACUUCAAAAUCCAAACAUAAAGGCCAAGGUCAGUGGAGCCUAGUAGGAGACUAGCCUUCUGGUUGUUAAGUCACAUCAAAAGAAAACAGUGUGGCCAUGUCCAGGGACAUGGAAAUUUAGAGAGCUUUGCUAAGCUAUUCACCAGAUAGACUUCCAGGGAGCCAACCUAUCAACACAGGAAGACACCACCCAGCCAAAAGCCAGAGAAAUUGACUUUCCUUGUGUGCAUAAAGCCCUGAAUUCCCACCUGGACAUGACCUACAGCUCACCUUACGUAUUCUUACAUAUGCCCUUAAUGCAGUUAAGCUUAUAAAUAAGCCAACACAUGUGUAAACAUGGCAUUCUCAUGUGGCCCGGUGGCUCUGAGCCUGCACUACGCUUACCCUGCAUGAUGAUGUUGGAAACUCUAAAGUGCACUUCGUGCACAGCAGUAUUUAAACUCAUCAUCACUGGGCCAGGGAUUUAGCUCAGUGGUUUCGCCUGCCUCGCAAGCGCAGGGUCCCGAGUUCGAUCUCUGGUACCAAAAAAAAAAAAAAAAAAAAAAAAAAAUCAAUAAACUCAUCAUCACUGAAAUAGAAUCAUGGUGAAAAGUUGGUUUGUUAUCUCCCACUGAGCAGAGACUAGCAGGAGGUGAUAAAGAGCACACCUGUGGUAGCAUAUGACCUGCAUUUACAAGUUUAUCUUCCAGAUUAAAGUGUGCCGUAAGAACAGGGUACUGCUAAUAGGGUCUGCACCAUUUCCGGGGCUCGGUUGACCUACAGGACAUUACUACUGGCUUCCGGGGGAACUGUCCAAAAUGGAGAUUCCUCCCGAGGAAGCCAGGAAACAGUUCUCAAUGUUACUGACUCAAAGUUUUAUUUUGCCAGUUUUUCUAAUUUUUUCAGUGAGCAUGGCAACUGCAGCAGAGGUUAGAGCUGAGGAAAGCGGGGCUGAGUAUUCUUUCUGUAAAGGAAGGAAGGACUCCAUCCCUGUAAAAUGAUACAGAAUGUCACUCUCAAAAAGUAACAGCAUGUCAAUUAGAAUGAAAGAAGGAAAUUAUGUAUGUAUGCCUAUUAUUCUUUGUGAAUGUCUUUCAUUUAUCUAAAAUUAUAUUAGAAGCCAGACUGAUAAAAUAAAAAAUUCAA
RNAcentral lists this long non-coding RNA (3174 nucleotides) under Heterocephalus glaber (naked mole-rat). Its description in RNAcentral is "lncRNA (ENSHGLG00000033447.1)". Lineage: Eukaryota; Metazoa; Chordata; Mammalia; Rodentia; Bathyergidae. The record is from RNAcentral.